CUGCAGCCUCAGGCCCGGGUGACUCCAGCGGAGGAGCUCUGGGACACCCUUGUCUAGGGAAGAGGUCUUACUGGCUGCCCUCAUCUGACUUUGUGUCCCCAGGCCCCCAGCCAUGGCCCUGUCCCUGCCUCUGGGCCCUAGACUUGGCUCAGAGCCCCUCAGCCACCCACCGGGAGCACCUAGGGAGCCGGACAUUGUUGGAUGCACCGUCUGCCCCGCGUCCGGAGAGGAGAGCACGAGCCCAGAGCAGGCCCAGACCCUGGGACAGGACUCCUUGGGCCCUCCUGAGCACUUCCAGGGUGGGCCAAGGGGCAAUGAGCCUGCCGCUCACCCCCCAAGAUGGUCAACACCCUCUUCCUACGAGGACCCAGCUGGGGGCAAACACUGUGAGCACCCCAUUUCUGGCCUGGAGGUACUAGAGGCUGAGCAGAACAGCCUGCACCUGUGCCUGCUGGGGCUGGGCCGCCGGCUGCAGGACCUGGAGCAAGGCCUGGGGCACUGGGCAUUGGCCCAGAGUGGGAUGGUGCAGCUGCAGGCCCUCCAGGCGGACCUACGAGGGGCAGCUGAGCGUGUGGAGGCGCUGCUAGCGUUUGGUGAGGGGCUGGCACAGCGGAGUGAGCCCAGGGCCUGGGCAGCCCUGGAGCAGAUCCUGCGGGCCCUGGGAGCUUACCGAGACUCCAUCUUCCGGCGGCUCUGGCAGCUGCAGGCCCAGCUGGUCAGCUACAGCCUGGUAGGGCCCAUCUUGAUACCCCCCACCCAACCCAGGCCCCAACCUCAUAGCCUCCAUGACCUCUGUCCUUUGACCCAGGUGUUCGAGGAGGCCAACACGCUGGACCAGGACUUGGAGGUCGAGGGAGACUCGGACUGGCCAGGACCUGGUGGGGUCUGGGGGCCCUGGGCACCCAGUAGCCUCCCCACUUCCACAGAGUUGGAGUGGGAUCCGGCGGGGGACAUUGGGGGCCUUGGGCCCUUGGGACAAAAGACAGCCCGGACACUAGGAGUGCCCUGUGAGCUGUGUGGCCACAGGGGGCCCCAGGGCAGGGGACAAGGCCUUGAGGUGAGAGCAGACCCCCUUGAGGGACCUUCUGCCAGGCACCCUGGGGACAUCUCUGCGCACCUUCUAGCAAGAUCCUGCCCUUCCAAGGAGGUGUCAGUGGCUCUGUCUCCCCCUCUAUCUCUGUCUCUCGGUGUCUCCUUCUGUCUCACUGCUUCUCUCUCUCGUCUGUCUCUGUCUACAUCCUCAAGCCCCAUCUCAAAUUCACUCCUAUCCUGAGGCCCCCAGAUGAUGCCCCACUCACCUCCUGACUGUCCCAGUCUCUCCUGAAGUGCCACCUCUUCAGGGAGGCCUGUCGUGACCUCCAAACAUGAGCACUCCUAUCUUCUUACUUUAUUUCCUAACAGCACUCACCACAGCUUGACUUUGUACAUUUACUUAUUUUUAAAAUUUUUUAUUUAUUUUUUGAGAUGGAGUCUUACUCUGUCGCCCAGGCUGGAGUGUAGUGGUGCAAUCUUGGCUCACUGCAAACUCUGCCUCCUAGGUUCAAGAGAUUCUCCUACCUCGGCCUCCCGAGUAGCUGGGAUUACAGGUGUGCACCACCAUUCCUGGCUAAUUUUUGUAUUUUUAGUAGAGAUGGGGUUUCAUCAUGUUGGCCAGACUAGUCUCGAACUCCUGACCUCAGGUGAUCCGCCUGCCUCGGCCUCCCAAAGUGCUGGGAUUACAGGCCUGAGCCACUGUACCAGGCCUCAUUUACUUAUUAAUUUAUGGUCUCUCUCCUGUCAAAUAUAAGCUCCACGGAGGCCAGGAAUUUGCCUAUUUCCAUCCCCACUGUGUCCUCAGCUCCUAGAACAGUUCCUGGCUUGUAACAGAAACUCAUUACACAUUUAUUGAAUGAAUGAAUAAAUAAUGUCUCUCCUCUCUUGGUUUCUUUGGCUCUGCCCUUGUCUGUCCUGUGAGAUCUCUCUGUUCCCCCAGAAUCUCAUCUCUAUGACAUCCCUAUCCUGGCCCUCCCCCAACCACGUUUCCCUUUGUUGCUGGUUCUCCAGGAAGCAGACACCUCUCACUCCCGACAGGACAUGCUAGAGUCUGGCCUCGGCCACCAGAAACGCUUAGCAGGUCACCAAAGACGCUCCCUGCUCCGGAAGCCUCAGGACAAGAAGAGGCAAGCAUCUCCUCAUCUCCAGGAUGUGAGGCUGGAGGGGAAUCCAGGGGCCCCCGAUCCUGCAUCCAGGCAGCCUCUGACCUUCCUCCUAAUCCUCUUCCUCCUCUUCCUCCUCCUGGUGGGUGCCAUGUUUCUCCUGCCCAUGUCAGGAGGCCCCUGCUGCUCUAACGCCCGAAUACCCAGGACACCCUACCUGGUGCUCAGCUAUGUCAAUGGUCUUCCCCCAGUCUGAUGUGUGAAAUAAAUGGUCAUUGUCAAA
Molecule: small RNA, 2418 nt
Filed under: Pan troglodytes (chimpanzee)
Lineage: Eukaryota; Metazoa; Chordata; Mammalia; Primates; Hominidae
Description: retained intron
Source: RNAcentral